UGCAGUCGACGAUGAUGCCGAGCUUGCUGGGUGGAUUAGUGGCGAACGGGUGAGUAACACGUGAGUAACCUGCCCUUGACUCUGGGAUAAGCGCUGGAAACGGCGUCUAAUACCGGAUACGACCUGCCCCGGCAUCGGGUGCGGGUGGAAAGUUUUUCGGUCAAGGAUGGACUCGCGGCCUAUCAGGUAGUUGGUGAGGUAAUGGCUCACCAAGCCGACGACGGGUAGCCGGCCUGAGAGGGUGACCGGCCACACUGGGACUGAGACACGGCCCAGACUCCUACGGGAGGCAGCAGUGGGGAAUAUUGCACAAUGGGCGAAAGCCUGAUGCAGCAACGCCGCGUGGGGGAUGACGGCCUUCGGGUUGUAAACCUCUUUUAGUAGGGAAGAAGGGCUUCGGCUUGACGGUACCUGCAGAAAAAGCACCGGCUAACUACGUGCCAGCAGCCGCGGUAAUACGUAGGGUGCAAGCGUUGUCCGGAAUUAUUGGGCGUAAAGAGCUCGUAGGCGGUUUGUCGCGUCUGCUGUGAAAACCCGAGGCUCAACCUCGGGCCUGCAGUGGGUACGGGCAGACUAGAGUGCGGUAGGGGAGAAUGGAAUUCCUGGUGUAGCGGUGGAAUGCGCAGAUAUCAGGAGGAACACCGAUGGCGAAAGCAGUUCUCUGGGCCGUUACUGACGCUCAGGAGCGAAAGCGUGGGGAGCGAACAGGAUUAGAUACCCUGGUAGUCCACGCCGUAAACGUUGGGAACUAGAUGUGGGGACCUUUCCACGGUCUCCGUGUCGCAGCUAACGCAUUAAGUUCCCCGCCUGGGGAGUACGG
This 820-nucleotide ribosomal RNA is filed under the name Rathayibacter sp. RNAcentral describes it as "bacterial SSU rRNA". It matches the Rfam family "Bacterial small subunit ribosomal RNA", at positions 56 to 885 of the family's 1533-position model. The record is from RNAcentral. Lineage: Bacteria; Bacillati; Actinomycetota; Actinomycetes; Micrococcales; Microbacteriaceae.